Molecule: long non-coding RNA, 267 nt
Organism: Arachis duranensis
Lineage: Eukaryota; Viridiplantae; Streptophyta; Magnoliopsida; Fabales; Fabaceae
Exons: 3
Source: RefSeq, a predicted model, not a curated record
GAAAAAAGUUGUUGUGGAGGAUUCACCUCCUGAAGAAGAUCAAUACUUUGACGGUGAGAGAUAUGAAAUAUCAAGUGACGAACUCGAUGAAUGGCUAAGGGAAAACGUUGAUAAAUCUGCUGCAGAGGGGGAGAACCAAGCUGACCUGCGAUCGACAGAAGGUCGCUAUGUGUCCUCUGAAACGUAAGAAGCUUUAUUAUUUAAUAAAAUCUUGUUAUUAUUUGAGAUUUGGAUGUAUUUUGUGAACCAUUUGGGUGUAUUUUGUGG